GUGCUCGCUUUGGCAGCACAUAUACUAAAAUUGGAACGAUACAGAGAAGAUUUGCAUGGCCCUGUGCAAGGAUGACACGCAUAUUCAUGAAGCGUUCCAUAUUUGA
Molecule: small nuclear RNA, 106 nt
Organism: Myotis lucifugus (little brown bat)
Lineage: Eukaryota; Metazoa; Chordata; Mammalia; Chiroptera; Vespertilionidae
Source: Ensembl